This 780-nucleotide unclassified non-coding RNA is filed under the name uncultured bacterium. Its description in RNAcentral is "partial contains 16S ribosomal RNA, 16S-23S ribosomal RNA intergenic spacer, and 23S ribosomal RNA". The stretch from base 649 to 780 matches the Rfam family "Bacterial large subunit ribosomal RNA", at positions 1 to 131 of the family's 2925-position model. The record is from RNAcentral.
UCUAAGGAUUGUUUCUUCAGGACGCCGGUUGGCCCGUUGCUUCGGCAGCGCCCUGACCGACCGUUCUAUCGAGACAUCUUGGAACAUGGCGGACCCUUUCUCGGGGUCACGCCGAACAUCUGGCGGGACGGACGCCGUCCUCGUUUCUCUUUCUCUCAAACGCGCGCAAACGACCGAUCGGCUGGCGCGCGAAAAAGAUCUUGUUGGUUGCGCGCCUCCAUGGCCCCGCCCGGUUGCUUGUCGACUGCUUGAGGGUUAAUGAGCGGCGGCCGGUUUCGGGCUGGUAGCUCAGGUGGUUAGAGCGCACGACUGAUAAUCGUGAGGUCGGAGGUUCGAGUCCUCCUCGGCCCACCAUUCGACCGUCACAGGGGCCCUUAGCUCAGCUGGGAGAGCACCUGCUUUGCAAGCAGGGGGUCAUCGGUUCGAUCCCGAUAGGGUCCACCAUUUCGGUACGCUGAGAUCUUUGAGAGAAACAAAAGUUUGCGAUUAGCGCCUCGCGCUAACUCGCCUUUUCAUCGUGAAGAAGGGUCGCUUCGUUCGGUUGUCUUUUGCAACUGGCGGGCGAUGCGAGAGUCAAAUGUCUGACGCUCAUGCGUUCGGCCCGCACAACCUACGGCGGACCGUUCGACGCGCAUGGGCAUUGCUGACGAUCAAGCGUGACAAGAGUAUCCAGGGGAUGCCUUGGCAGACGCAGGCGAUGAAGGACGUGCCAUGCUGCGAAAAGCCGCGGGGAGCUGCAAGGAAGCUUCGAUCCGCGGAUGCCCGAAUGGGGAAACCCGG